This 250-nucleotide ribosomal RNA is filed under the name uncultured Chroococcidiopsis sp. RNAcentral describes it as "partial 16S ribosomal RNA". It matches the Rfam family "Bacterial small subunit ribosomal RNA", at positions 796 to 1044 of the family's 1533-position model. The record is from RNAcentral. Lineage: Bacteria; Bacillati; Cyanobacteriota; Cyanophyceae; Chroococcidiopsidales; Chroococcidiopsidaceae.
CUAGCUGUAAACGAUGGAUACUAGGCGUUGAGAGUAUCAACCCUCUCAGUGUCGUAGCUAACGCGUUAAGUAUCCCGCCUGGGGAGUACGCGCGCAAGCGUGAAACUCAAAGGAAUUGACGGGGGCCCGCACAAGCGGUGGAGUAUGUGGUUUAAUUCGAUGCAACGCGAAGAACCUUACCAGGGCUUGACAUGUCCGGAACCCUGCCCAAAGGCGGGGGUGCCUACGGGAACCGGAACACAGGUGGUGC